Molecule: small RNA, 77 nt
Filed under: uncultured Blautia sp.
Lineage: Bacteria; Bacillati; Bacillota; Clostridia; Lachnospirales; Lachnospiraceae
Description: GA-cis RNA
Rfam family: GA-cis RNA
Source: RNAcentral
GGAGGCACCAACAUGCCGCAGGCAUGAUUUUCAUGUGCCGACCGAUAUGCCGCCGACCGGAGGGAGGGGGCGAUACU